GUCUCAGUGUAGCAUCAUGGUUUGAGUGUUAGACUAGGACUCUGGAGAGCAGGGUUCAAUUCUCUGCUCAGUCA
Non-coding RNA from Phrynosoma platyrhinos (Desert horned lizard), 74 nucleotides. Lineage: Eukaryota; Metazoa; Chordata; Lepidosauria; Squamata; Phrynosomatidae. The record is from the annotation of a GenBank genome assembly.